CAUAUCAAUAAGCGGAGGAAAAGAAACUAACAAGGAUUCCCCUAGUAACUGCGAGUGAAGCGGGAAAAGCUCAAAUUUAAAAUCUGGUGGUCUUUGGCCAUCCGAGUUGUAAUCUAGAGAAGUGUUAUCCGUGCUGGACCGUGUACAAGUCUCCUGGAAUGGAGCGUCAUAGAGGGUGAGAAUCCCGUCUUUGACACGGACUACCAGUGCUUUGUGAUAYGCUCUCAAAGAGUCGAGUUGUUUGGGAAUGCAGCUCAAAAUGGGUGGUAAAUUCCAUCUAAAGCUAAAUAUUGGCGAGAGACCGAUAGCGAACAAGUACCGUGAGGGAAAGAUGAAAAGAACUUUGGAAAGAGAGUUAAACAGUACGUGAAAUUGCUGAAAGGGAAACGCUUGAAGUCAGUCGCAUUGUCUAGGAAUCAACCUUGCUUUUGCUGGGCGUACUUUCUAGUUAAUGGGUCAGCAUCAAUUUUGAUUGUUGGAUAAAGUCUGGGAGAAUGUGGCAUCUUUGGAUGUGUUAUAACUUCUAGUUGCAUACAAUGGUUGGGAUUGAGGAACUCAGCACGCCCGCAAGGGUCGGGUACUUGUACCACGUUCGUGCUUAGGAUGCUGGCAUAAUGGCUUUAAUCGACCCGUCUUGAAACACGGACCAAGGAGUCUAACAUGCCUGCGAGUAUUUGGGUGGUAAACCCGAGUGCGUAAUGAAAGUGAAAGUUGAGAUCCCUGUCAUGGGGAGCAUCGACGCCCGGACUAGACCUUUUGUGAUGGAUCUGCGGUAGAGCAUGUAUGUUGGGACCCGAAAGAUGGUGAACUAUGCCUGAAUAGGGUGAAGCCAGAGGAAACUCUGGUGGAGGCUCGUAGCGAUUCUGACGUGCAAAUCGAUCGUCAAAUUUGGGUAUAGGGGCGAAAGACUAAU
RNAcentral lists this ribosomal RNA (913 nucleotides) under Pholiota flammans. Its description in RNAcentral is "partial large subunit ribosomal RNA". The record is from RNAcentral. Lineage: Eukaryota; Fungi; Basidiomycota; Agaricomycetes; Agaricales; Strophariaceae.